RNAcentral lists this ribosomal RNA (570 nucleotides) under [Candida] sp. Its description in RNAcentral is "Candida sp. (in: Saccharomycetales) partial large subunit ribosomal RNA". It matches the Rfam family "Eukaryotic large subunit ribosomal RNA", at positions 68 to 656 of the family's 3401-position model. Lineage: Eukaryota; Fungi; Ascomycota; Saccharomycetes; Saccharomycetales. The record is from RNAcentral.
CCUCCUAUUGCCUCGUACGGCGAGUGAAGCGGCAAAAGCUCAAAUUUGAAAUCUAGCACUUUCAGUGUUCGAGUUGUAAUUUGAAGAAGGUAACUUUGGUUUUGGCUCUUGUCUAUGUUCCUUGGAACAGGACGUCACAGAGGGUGAGAAUCCCGUGCGAUGAGAUGCCCAAUUCCAUGUAAAGUGCUUUCGAAGAGUCGAGUUGUUUGGGAAUGCAGCUCUAAGUGGGUGGUAAAUUCCAUCUAAAGCUAAAUAUUGGCGAGAGACCGAUAGCGAACAAGUACAGUGAUGGAAAGAUGAAAAGAACUUUGAAAAGAGAGUGAAAAAGUACGUGAAAUUGUUGAAAGGGAAGGGCUUGAGAUCAGACUUGGUAUUUUGCGUUCCCUUCCUUUUUGGUUGGGUUCCUCGCAGUUUACUGGGCCAGCAUCGGUUUGGAUGGUAGGAUAAUGACAUUGGAAUGUAGCUUUACUUCGGUGAAGUGUUAUAGACUUUGUUGAUACUGCCUAUCUAGACCGAGGACUGCGUCUUUGACUAGGAUGCUGGCGUAAUGAUCUUAAGCCGCCCGUCUUG